RNAcentral lists this ribosomal RNA (449 nucleotides) under uncultured bacterium. RNAcentral's name for it is "bacterial SSU rRNA". It matches the Rfam family "Bacterial small subunit ribosomal RNA", at positions 354 to 796 of the family's 1533-position model. The record is from RNAcentral.
GUCGAGAAUCUUUCACAAUGGGGGCAACCCUGAUGGAGCGACGCCGCGUGGAGGAUAAGGUCUUCGGAUUGUAAACUCCUGUCAUGCGUGAACAAGGUUGCUUGGAUAAUACCUGAGCAAAUUGAUGGUAGCGCAAGAGGAAGAGACGGCUAACUCUGUGCCAGCAGCCGCGGUAAUACAGAGGUCUCAAGCGUUGUUCGGAAUCACUGGGCGUAAAGGGUGCGUAGGUGGCGUGGCAAGUCAGAUGUGAAAGCCCGGGGCUCAACCGCGGAACUGCAUCCGAUGCUGCCAUGCUAGAGUACUGGAGGGGUGACUAGAAUUCUCGGUGUAGCAGUGAAAUGCGUAGAUAUCGAGAGGAAUACCAAAGGCGUAGGCAGGUCACUGGACAGUUACUGACACUGAGGCACGAAGGCCAGGGGAGCGAACGGGAUUAGAAACCCGAGUAGUCC